RNAcentral lists this ribosomal RNA (532 nucleotides) under uncultured bacterium. RNAcentral describes it as "bacterial SSU rRNA". It matches the Rfam family "Bacterial small subunit ribosomal RNA", at positions 275 to 805 of the family's 1533-position model. The record is from RNAcentral.
GACGAUGCGUAGGGGUUCUGAGAGGAAGGUCCCCCACAAUGGUACUGAGACACGGACCAGACUCCUACGGGAGGCAGCAGUGAGGAAUAUUGGUCAAUGGGAGAGAUCCUGAACCAGCCAAGCCGCGUGAGGGAAGACGGCCCUAUGGGUUGUAAACCUCUUUUGUCGGAGAACAAAACCCGGGACGUGUCCCGGACUGCGUGUAUCCGAAGAAAAAGCAUCGGCUAACUCCGUGCCAGCAGCCGCGGUAAUACGGAGGAUGCGAGCGUUAUCCGGAUUUAUUGGGUUUAAAGGGUGCGUAGGCGGUCUGUUAAGUCAGCGGUAAAAUUGCGGGGCUCAACCCCGUCGAGCCGUUGAAACUGGCAGACUUGAGUUGGCGAGAAGUACGCGGAAUGCGCGGUGUAGCGGUGAAAUGCAUAGAUAUCGCGCAGAACUCCGAUUGCGAAGGCAGCGUACCGGCGCCAGACUGACGCUGAGGCACGAAAGCGUGGGGAUCAAACAGGAUUAGAUACCCUGGUAGUCCACGCAGUAA